Molecule: ribosomal RNA, 1329 nt
Filed under: Limnonectes palavanensis (Palawan wart frog)
Lineage: Eukaryota; Metazoa; Chordata; Amphibia; Anura; Dicroglossidae
Description: partial 16S large subunit ribosomal RNA
Source: RNAcentral
GCCUAAAAUCCAGCCUAAUUAUUAACCUCAUAUAAACUAUUCACUACCACCCUCCAAUAAAACAUUUUCUUAGUCCAGUAGAGGCGAUUAAAAGACUUAUUAGCGCUUUAUUACUAGUACCGCAAGGGAAAAAUGAAAUAGUUUUGAAACAGCCUUAAAGCUAAAUACAGCAAAGAUUACCACUUGUACCUUUUGCAUCAUGGUUUAGCCAGUCUUCAUCAAGCAAAAAGAAAUAUUAGUUUGACCUCCCGAAACUAGACGAGCUACUUUAAAACAGCUUUAUAGAGCCAACCCGUCUCUGUUGCAAAAGAGUGGGAUGAUUUUUAAGUAGAGGUGAAAAGCCUACCGAGCCUAGAGAUAGCUGGUUACUUAGGAAAGGAAUCUUAGUUCAGCCUCAACUCUCCCAAUUAAUUCAAUAAAUACCCUAGACUUGAGAGCUAAUCAAAUAAGGCACAGCUUAUUUGAUCACGGAUACAGCCUAUAAUAAAGGGUAAAAAUUUUAAACACCGGUUAAGUAGGCUUAGAAGCAGCCACCUUUAAGAAAACGUUAAAGCUCCACCUCUCCCACAUACACAAUGCCUUAAUUCACCUUAAACCCUUUCUUACUACUAAGUAGUUUUAUAAUCUAUAAAAGCCCUUAUGCUAAAACUAGUAACAAGAAAUUGAAUUUCUCCUAAAUACAAGCAUAAACCAAAAUGGACAGACCAUUGGUAAUUAACGUUAAUGAGCCUACUAUAACAACACUCAAGCAAACAUUAUAAUCCUCACGCGUUAACUUAACACAAAUGUAUUACAGAAAAGAUUAACAAAAAGGGAAGGAACUCGGCAAAUUAUAGCCCCGCCUGUUUACCAAAAACAUCGCCUCUUGAUUGACAUAAGAGGUCUAGCCUGCCCAGUGAUAAACUUAAACGGCCGCAGUACCCUGACUGCGCAAAGGUAGCAUAAUCAUUUGUUCUUUAAAUAAGGACCUGUAUCAACGGCAUCACGAGGGCUAUACUGUCUCCCCUCUUUAAUCAGUGAAACUGACUUCCCCGUGAAGAGGCGGGGAUAAACAUACAAGACGAGAAGACCCCAUGGAGCUUUAAACCAAUAAUAACCUUUAUCCCCUCACUCCUGCAAAGAUAUAAAAACAUUAUAUAUUGGUUUUAGGUUGGGGCAACCACGGAGUAAAACUUAACCUCCUUGACGAAUGAAUUAAAUCCUAAUCUAAGAGCCACUGCUCUAAUAAUCAACAAUUUGACGUAACAUGAUCCGAUAAUCGAUCAACGAACCAAGUUACCCUGGGGAUAACAGCGCAAUCCAUUUCAAGAGCUCCUAUCGACAAAYGGG